This 484-nucleotide ribosomal RNA is filed under the name uncultured bacterium. RNAcentral describes it as "partial 16S ribosomal RNA". It matches the Rfam family "Bacterial small subunit ribosomal RNA", at positions 28 to 523 of the family's 1533-position model. The record is from RNAcentral.
GACGAACGCUGGCGGCGUGCUUAACACAUGCAAGUCGAACGAUGAAGCUGGAGCUUGCUCUGGUGGAUUAGUGGCGAACGGGUGAGUAACGCGUGAGUAACCUGCCCUUGACUCUGGGAUAAGCGCUGGAAACGGCGUCUAAUACCGGAUACGAACUUCCACCGCAUGGUGAGUUGCUGGAAAGAAUUUCGGUCAAGGAUGGACUCGCGGCCUAUCAGCUUGUUGGUGAGGUUACGGCUCACCAAGGCGACGACGGGUAGCCGGCCUGAGAGGGUGACCAGCCAGCCUGGGACUGAGACACGGCCCAGACUCCUACGGGAGGCAGCAGUGGGGAAUAUUGCACAAUGGGCGCAAGCCUGAUGCAGCAACGCCGCGUGAGGGACGAAGGCCUUCGGGUCGUAAACCUCUUUUAGCAGGGAAGAAGCGAAAGUGACGGUACCUGCAGAAAAAGCACCGGCUAACUACGUGCCAGCAGCCGCCGUAA